GCUGUAGCGCAAUGGGUAGCGCUUUGGACUUCUAAUCCAAAGGUCGUGAAUUCCACCUGGGAUA
This is a non-coding RNA of Trichonephila clavipes, 64 nucleotides long. The record is from the annotation of a GenBank genome assembly. Lineage: Eukaryota; Metazoa; Arthropoda; Arachnida; Araneae; Nephilidae.